AGGGGCAGCCUCGAUCUCGCGCAAAGGAAGAUAUAAAAGGAGCUGCGGGGAACAAUGGCGCCAUUGUUCUUAGCGUCUUCAAACCAACUGCAAGAAGAAACCAAGAUGGAGGGGAGCCCAAAUCAUCGGAGAGAAUUGAUAAGGGAGAGAGAUUUGCUUAAAACUUGACCGUUUUAAAGGACCAUUUGCUCCUCAACAGCUACAUUAAUGGAACAGUGUGUGUGAUCUCUGUGCUCCUGGGAGUCAGAACACAAUUGACAGAGGAGGAUCCUGUUCUUAUCACAGAAGAUUGUCUUUCUCUCCUUGUGGGUCACACACUUGUGCUCCUCAGAAUUCAAAUAUUCCAUGAGCCUUUUCUUUCUGACGAUGGACACCUGCUUCUUCAUAGAAGUGUCAUCUAGGAACACCUGCAGGCAUGAUUGCCUACACGUUGGGCAGUAGGCAGGCAAUUGGAUGUCUCCUGAAAAAAAGAAGAGACAAGGCUGGCAGAACUUAUGGCCACACCUCAAGACAAUCGGAUCCAUGAAGAUGCCCUGGCAGAUGGAGCAAGUGAGUGUUUCCUCCUGGGGGACUUGUAAAUUGUCUGAUUUCAUUUUUCUGAGGGAGGAAAAAAUAGCAGCGUUAUUGGGCCAGAGAGGAACAAGAGUCUAGACAGAGUAUG
Molecule: long non-coding RNA, 661 nt
Filed under: Mus pahari (shrew mouse)
Lineage: Eukaryota; Metazoa; Chordata; Mammalia; Rodentia; Muridae
Description: lncRNA (MGP_PahariEiJ_G0012045.1)
Source: RNAcentral